This 603-nucleotide ribosomal RNA is filed under the name uncultured archaeon. RNAcentral describes it as "bacterial SSU rRNA". It matches the Rfam family "Archaeal small subunit ribosomal RNA", at positions 1 to 604 of the family's 1478-position model. The record is from RNAcentral.
UUCCGGUUGAUCCCGCCGGAGGCCAUUGCUAUCGGAGUCCGAUUUAGCCAUGCUAGUCGAGCGAGGUUAGCCCUCGCGGCGAACAGCUCAGUAACACGUGGCCAAGCUACCCUGCAGAGGGGGACAGCGUCGGGAAACUGACGGGAAUCCCCCAUACCGGUCUCACGCUGGAAUGCCGAGACCGACAAACGCUCCGGCGCUGCAGGAUGCGGCUGCGGCCGAUUAGGUAGUCGGUGGGGUAACGGCCCACCGAGCCGAUAAUUGGUACGGGGUGUGAGAGCACGAGCCCGGAGACGGAAUCUGAGACAAGAUUCCGGGCCCUACGGGGCGCAGCAGGCGCGAAACCUUUACACUGCACGAACGUGCGAUAAGGGGACUCCGAGUGCGAGGGCAUACAGUCCUCGCUAUUGUGUACCGUAGGGUGGUACACGACCAAGAGCUGGGCAAGACCGGUGCCAGCCGCCGCGGUAAUACCGGCAGCUCGAGUGAUGGCCGAUUUUAUUGGGCCUAAAGCGUCCGUAGCUGGCCCUGCAAGUCCGUCGGGAAAUCCCACUCGCCUAACGAGUGGGCGUCCGGUGGAAACUACAGGGCUUGGGACCGGAA